Molecule: ribosomal RNA, 253 nt
Filed under: uncultured bacterium
Lineage: Bacteria
Description: partial 16S ribosomal RNA
Rfam family: Bacterial small subunit ribosomal RNA
Source: RNAcentral
UACGUAGGGUGCGAGCGUUGUCCGGAAUUACUGGGCGUAAAGAGCUUGUAGGUGGUUUGUCGCGUUGUUCGUGAAAUCUCACGGCUUAACUGUGAGCGUGCGGGCGAUACGGGCAGACUAGAGUACUGCAGGGGAGACUGGAAUUCCUGGUGUAGCAGUGAAAUGCGUAGAUAUCAAGUGGAACACCAGUGGCGAAGGCGAGUCUCUGGACAUUUCCUGACGCUGAGGCACGAAAGCCAGGGGAGCAAACGGG